Molecule: ribosomal RNA, 222 nt
Filed under: uncultured bacterium
Lineage: Bacteria
Description: partial 16S ribosomal RNA
Rfam family: Bacterial small subunit ribosomal RNA
Source: RNAcentral
ACGCUCGACACCUACGGGAGCAGCAGUAGGGAAUCUUCCACAAUGGACGCAAGUCUGAUGGAGCAACGCCGCGUGAGUGAAGAAGGUUUUCGGAUCGUAAAGCUCUGUUGUUGGUGAAGAAGGAUAGAGGUAGUAACUGGCCUUUAUUUGACGGUAAUCAACCAGAAAGUCACGGCUAACUACGUGCCAACAGCCGCGGUAAUCUGAGCGGGCUGGCAAGGC